RNAcentral lists this ribosomal RNA (253 nucleotides) under uncultured bacterium. RNAcentral describes it as "partial 16S ribosomal RNA". It matches the Rfam family "Bacterial small subunit ribosomal RNA", at positions 524 to 776 of the family's 1533-position model. The record is from RNAcentral.
UACGUAGGGUGCGAGCGUUAAUCGGAAUUACUGGGUGUAAAGCGUGCGCAGGCGGUUCGUUAUGUCCGAUGUGAAAGCCCCGAGCUUAACUUGGGAAUGGCAUUGGAAACUGGCGGGCUGGAGUGCGGCAGAGGGGGGUGGAAUUCCACGUGUAGCAGUGAAAUGCGUAGAGAUGUGGAGGAACACCGAUGGCGAAGGCAGCCCCCUGGGCCUACACUGACGCUCAGGCACGAAAGCGUGGGGAGCAAACAGG